GCCGCUCUAUUGGCCAGGAUCCGCUCAGCCGUGGGAGCUUUAAACUCCAGGCUGACCUACGAACCUGCGGCGAACGUCUUGCGCGCUUCCUGAUCCGUUACCAUGGAAAUGGUUUAACCCUUUCCUCUGGCAAAAUACCCAAGCUGUGGCUGGCUCUGCAGGGCCAGAUCCUCUCUGCUUUGGAGCCUUCCCACGAGAUCUUCCUUCAGCACUGAGUGCUCUCUGUGCACCCCUUAGCCUCUGUAUGCCUGAGAAUCCCUCAGCAUUCAGCUGUACUCUCAAGAACUCAAGAACUCUUGUACUAAUUCCCCAGACUAGUGUUGAAAUAAGUUUCUAGGCCCAAGGUGGAGGUGCUCCCGCCCAGGAUGCCACCUCAGCAAACCAAAGCUUAAAUAACUUUUGUGUCUGUGUAAAUGCUCCACUAGACCAAAAACACAGUAUAUCCAGUCAGCCAGUCCCCCCAAACCAAGCCAACUCUAGGCUCUAUGUUUAUUUGUUUCUUCUCACUCCAAGCAAAGCUGGGGUGCCUGGGUGGCUCAGUAGGUUGAGCAUCCGACUUCGGCUCAGGUCAUGAUCUCAUGGUUUUGUGAGUUCAAGCCCCGCAUCGGGCUCUGUGCUGACAGCUCAGAGCCUGGAGUCUGCUUUCGAUUCUGUGUCUCCCUCUCUCUCUGCCCCUCCCCGACUCAUGCUCUGUCUCUCUGCCUUGGAAAUAAAUAAACAUUAAAAAAUUAAAAACAAGCAAACAAAGUUGACAAUGUGGCCCCAACCAAUCAUAUAUUUCCCACUUUUCCUUUUCCCUGCUCUUUUUUCUUUAGUCUAUAAAAGCUUCCCGACUUCUGCCCCAUUUUGCAGUUCUCCAAAGGAAACUGUCCACUUAAGGAAGUGUGAAAUAAAGUUUGUUUGUAUCACCUAA
This is a long non-coding RNA of Neofelis nebulosa (Clouded leopard), 913 nucleotides long. RefSeq lists it as uncharacterized. The transcript has 3 exons. Lineage: Eukaryota; Metazoa; Chordata; Mammalia; Carnivora; Felidae. The record is from RefSeq and is a predicted model, not a curated record.